Molecule: transfer RNA, 66 nt
Filed under: Lysobacterales bacterium
Lineage: Bacteria; Pseudomonadati; Pseudomonadota; Gammaproteobacteria; Lysobacterales
Description: tRNA-Lys
Rfam family: tRNA
About the family: Transfer RNA (tRNA) molecules are approximately 80 nucleotides in length. Their secondary structure includes four short double-helical elements and three loops (D, anti-codon, and T loops).
Source: RNAcentral
GGAUAGCUCAGACGGUUAGAGCAUCGAAUUUUUAAUUCGAGAGUCGCGGGUUCGAUUCCCGCUCCA